RNAcentral lists this transfer RNA (66 nucleotides) under Euparatettix variabilis. RNAcentral describes it as "tRNA-Cys". The record is from RNAcentral. Lineage: Eukaryota; Metazoa; Arthropoda; Insecta; Orthoptera; Tetrigidae.
GGUUUUAUAUUCAACUAUGAUUUUAGAUUGCAAGUCUAAAGGUACGUUUAAAAUUCGUUAAGGCCU